This 563-nucleotide ribosomal RNA is filed under the name uncultured bacterium. RNAcentral describes it as "bacterial SSU rRNA". It matches the Rfam family "Bacterial small subunit ribosomal RNA", at positions 338 to 916 of the family's 1533-position model. The record is from RNAcentral.
CCUACGGGAGGCAGCAGCAAGGAAUUUUGGGCAAUGGACGAAAGUCUGACCCAGCGACACCGCGUGAGGGAAUAAGGCCUUCGGGUUGUAAACCUCUUUUCUUGGGGAAGAAUCUCGACGGUACCCAAGGAAUAAGCCUCGGCCAACUACGUGCCAGCAGCCGCGGUAAUACGUAGGAGGCGAACGUUAUUCGGAUUUACUGGGCGUAAAGGGAGCGUAGGCGGUUCCUUAAGUCGGAUGUGAAAUCUUCUGACUCAAUCGGAAGGCGCCAUUUGAUACUGAGGGACUUGAGAGCAGCAGAGGGAAAUGGAAUCUCCAGUGUAGCGGUGAAAUGCGUAGAUAUUGGAGAGAACACCAGUGGCAAAGGCGGUUUCCCAGGCUGCUUCUGACGCUGAGGCUCGAAAGCGUGGGGAGCGAAGCGGAUUAGAUACCCGCGUAGUCCACGCCCUAAACGGUGGACACUAGAUAUGGGAGGUAUCGACCCUUUCUGUGUCGAAGCUAACGCUUUAAGUGUCCCGCCUGGGGAGUACGGCCGCAAGGCUGAAACUUAAAGGAAUUGACGG